This is a long non-coding RNA of Homo sapiens (human), 3937 nucleotides long. Ensembl annotates it as miR-17-92a-1 cluster host gene. Its record names the gene MIR17HG. Lineage: Eukaryota; Metazoa; Chordata; Mammalia; Primates; Hominidae. The record is from Ensembl.
GGGACAUGGCGGCGACUGCGCGCCGCCGCCGAUUGUUCCCGGCUUAGGCCUCGGGCCGCGUGCGACGGGCACCGCGGCCGCGGAGCCCCCGCCCCUCUGGGCCGGGCUCGGGGGGGCUGGGGGACACAAAGGAGGGGCGGCGCGCCCGCGUCCCCGCCGCACUCGGGCCUCGGCGCCGCCGGUCGCCGCGCGGCUGCCGCCGGGAAACGGGUUGGGGGGGUUGCCGCGUCCGGCGGGGCCUGACUCUGACCCGCCGCCCCCUGGCGGCUACGCGGAGAAUCGCAGGGCCGCGCUCCCCCUUGUGCGACAUGUGCUGCCGGCCCGGGCUCCAUGAGCGUGGCGGGCACUUUGCAGUCUCGGGUGUUCCUGCCCGGUCUUCUGUUCCUAAACUGCAGCAAAGGGAAAAGGAACUGAAAAAGGCAGGCUCGUCGUUGCAAUAUCACCAAAAGAGAAAAUUAACGGCAUGCCAUCAGGACCACAGCAGUUGGAGAAACAACUCUUUAUCCCGGCUUGCAGCCACGAGGUCUUGAUUGGGGGAGGGGUGGUGAAGAAUAGUCUGUGGGCUGCUUUUUUUUUUUCCUUUUACUGGAGCUGUACAGUGGAGUCGGUGAUUGCUGCUGAUCAUAAUCAAGUAUUUUAGGAGCUUAUUUAGACAUGUAUCUGAUAGCUAAGGAUUUUUCAACUUUAUUCUCUUACGUAUUUUUCAACUGUAAAUUAUUGGGCUUUUAAAUCCUGCUAGUAUUGCUCGACUCUUACUCUCACAAAUGGAUGGAAUUAAUUGCUGUUAGGAGGUUGGAAAAUAGCAAAUAUAGAUUUGGACGGUGGUAGUAAUUUUGAGCAAAUAAUGUUUUAUCUUUUUUUUCCUUAUUUUUCCCUAUUCCAGUCAUACACGUGGACCUAACUGCACCAGUAGCUUUUCUGAGAAUACUUGCUGAAAAGGAAGUUUUCUGGAAUGGUAUUUGCUAAGUGGAAGCCAGAAGAGGAGGAAAAUGUUUUGCCACGUGGAUGUGAAGAUUUCCUCUAAAAGGUACACAUGGACUAAAUUGCCUUUAAAUGUUCCAAAAUUAGUUCUCAUUUAUUUGCAGUCUCAUUUUGUUUUGUUUUUUUUCUCUAUGUGUCAAUCCAUUUGGGAGAGGCCAGCCAUUGGAAGAGCCACCACUUCCAGUGCUAGUUGGAUGGUUGGUUAUGAUUGCCUUCUGUAAAGAAUUCUUAAGGCAUAAAUACGUGUCUAAAUGGACCUCAUAUCUUUGAGAUAAUUAAACUAAUUUUUUCUUCCCCAUUAGGGAUUAUGCUGAAUUUGUAUGGUUUAUAGUUGUUAGAGUUUGAGGUGUUAAUUCUAAUUAUCUAUUUCAAAUUUAGCAGGAAAAAAGAGAACAUCACCUUGUAAAACUGAAGAUUGUGACCAGUCAGAAUAAUGUCAAAGUGCUUACAGUGCAGGUAGUGAUAUGUGCAUCUACUGCAGUGAAGGCACUUGUAGCAUUAUGGUGACAGCUGCCUCGGGAAGCCAAGUUGGGCUUUAAAGUGCAGGGCCUGCUGAUGUUGAGUGCUUUUUGUUCUAAGGUGCAUCUAGUGCAGAUAGUGAAGUAGAUUAGCAUCUACUGCCCUAAGUGCUCCUUCUGGCAUAAGAAGUUAUGUAUUCAUCCAAUAAUUCAAGCCAAGCAAGUAUAUAGGUGUUUUAAUAGUUUUUGUUUGCAGUCCUCUGUUAGUUUUGCAUAGUUGCACUACAAGAAGAAUGUAGUUGUGCAAAUCUAUGCAAAACUGAUGGUGGCCUGCUAUUUCCUUCAAAUGAAUGAUUUUUACUAAUUUUGUGUACUUUUAUUGUGUCGAUGUAGAAUCUGCCUGGUCUAUCUGAUGUGACAGCUUCUGUAGCACUAAAGUGCUUAUAGUGCAGGUAGUGUUUAGUUAUCUACUGCAUUAUGAGCACUUAAAGUACUGCUAGCUGUAGAACUCCAGCUUCGGCCUGUCGCCCAAUCAAACUGUCCUGUUACUGAACACUGUUCUAUGGUUAGUUUUGCAGGUUUGCAUCCAGCUGUGUGAUAUUCUGCUGUGCAAAUCCAUGCAAAACUGACUGUGGUAGUGAAAAGUCUGUAGAAAAGUAAGGGAAACUCAAACCCCUUUCUACACAGGUUGGGAUCGGUUGCAAUGCUGUGUUUCUGUAUGGUAUUGCACUUGUCCCGGCCUGUUGAGUUUGGUGGGGAUUGUGACCAGAAGAUUUUGAAAAUUAAAUAUUACUGAAGAUUUCGACUUCCACUGUUAAAUGUACAAGAUACAUGAAAUAUUAAAGAAAAUGUGUAACUUUUUGUGUAAAUACAUCUUGUCUUGUUUUCAUUCAAAAACAUUUCACUUUUGGGGUUGCGUGUCAGAUUUGGCAGUAUAAAUUCUGGCUAUAUUUUUUGUUGUUAGAUUUAUUUGGCUGUUAAGUAUUGCGAUAUGACUAAACAUACUGUAUACCUGAUGAUCAUCUGUAAAGUUAGAGUAUAUCUUUUUGCUUUCUUUGGAGUUAGUGUUAUUCCAGGAUAUUUUACUUAAUCUAAAAGUUAAUUUAUGUUGCUCAUAUAUUACUCAAGUAUUUAAAUUUAGAGAGAAUGCCGCUCUGUUUAAAGCAAUGUGUAAAGAUGAGUUUUUUUAAGCAUGGAAUUUAGGGUUGGGGUACAAUUUGUUUCUAUUAAGCAAGUACCAGUUUACCAAUACAUGAGUAACUGAAGUGUAACUGUUAAAUGCUUGUAUACUAGUUUUUCUUUCUGAUUGUCAGUGAUUUAUAAGCUAUAAAUGACCAAGGUCCUCAGACUGCUUUUAGCAUCUGCAACUUAAAAAAAUGGGAGUUAGAAAAAGAACAAAUGCUAAAUAGAGUAACAGUUAAAUGUAUGUGUACACUCUUCCCAAAUGCCAAGAGUGCAGCGGUGGGGUGAGAUUCAGAUAUUCAUUUAUUUCUAAGUCUGUAGUUAACAUUUAUGUUCCCUACUCCCUACGUAAGCCAGACUUUGGCAACAGUGAUAGUUGAUUCCAGGCUUAUUUGACUUAAAGUCACUGAAGUGGAAACUAAGAAGUGGCAGUUAGUGUUUUACCCAGCAUUUCUGCCUUCUCUCUUUUCUUCAUGUGUUUUUGUCUCUAGCCUAUGUGUAUUUGUGUAGAAUAAUGUGGGAUACCUGAAUAAUAGAUUUAAAAGGACCAAGUGGUAAAAUUGGGCCCAAGCUGAAGUACAGGCAAACUUGAUGUUUGAAAGAUAAGUUUUGAGAAAUGUCAUUGUAUUUUGGAGUAAAAGAGGCUAUCUUAGUAAUAAGAAAUAAACUUCCAUAACACUAGGUUAGACCACCCAAUAAAUCUAGAAAUCAGCUUUUAAAAAUAUUGUCUGAAGUCUAACAAAAGUUUUCACCUCUAAUGUGUUCUUUAAGAAAUUUAAGGAACUUAGCCUUGGAUUCCUGAAUAGAAAGGUAAGAAUUCUAUCAUUCUGGAGUUGAUGAAAACAUAAAUUUUCAGGAUGUGAAAUGAACAGUGAUUUAUAAAAUGGAAAUCAAAUUGUACAUUAGCAGAGUUCUUAAGCUUUUUGAAUUGAAGGAGACCUAAUAAUUGUGUCUUUUUGGUUAUUUAGUGACAAACGUGGCUUUCAAACUAUGCUUAAAAAGUUCCGGCUGGACACGGUGGCUCACACCUAUAAUCCUAGCACUUGGGGAGGCUGAGGCAGACGGAUUACCUGAGGUCAGGAGUUCGAGACCAACCUGGCCGACAUGGUGAAACGCUGUCUCUACUAAAAAUAUAAAAAAUUAGCCGGGUGCAGUGGCGUGCACCUGUAAUCCCAGCUACUCUGGAGGCUGAGGCAGGAGAAUCACCUGAACCUGGGAGGUGGAGGUUUCAGUGAGCUGAGAUCCUGCCACUGCACUCCAGCCUGGGCGCAAGACCAAGACUUAAACGCAAAAAAAAAAAAAAAAAAAAAAAAAAA